RNAcentral lists this ribosomal RNA (497 nucleotides) under uncultured bacterium. Its description in RNAcentral is "partial 16S ribosomal RNA". It matches the Rfam family "Bacterial small subunit ribosomal RNA", at positions 899 to 1397 of the family's 1533-position model. The record is from RNAcentral.
ACUCAAAGGAAUUGACGGGGGCCCGCACAAGCGGUGGAUCAUGUGGUUUAAUUCGAAGCAACGCGAAGAACCUUACCUGGACUUGACAUCCUUUGAAUUUGCUAGAGAUAGCAACGGCUCGCAAGAGACAAAGAGACAGGUGCUGCAUGGCUGUCGUCAGCUCGUGUUGUGAAAUGUUGGGUUAAGUCCCGCAACGAGCGCAACCCCUGUGCUUGGUUGCCAUCAUUAAGUUGGGCACUCCAAGCAGACUGCCGUCGUCAAGACGGAGGAAGGUGGGGAUGACGUCAAGUCCUCAUGGCCUUUAUGUCCAGGGCGACACACGUGAUACAAUGGUUGGUACAGAGGGCAGCGAAGUGGCGACACGAAGCAAAUCCCAAAAAGCCAAUCUCAGUUCGGAUUGGAGUCUGCAACUCGACUCCAUGAAGUUGGAAUCGCUAGUAAUCGCGGAUCAGAACGCCGCGGUGAAUACGUUCCCGGGCCUUGUACACACCGCCCGU